UGGGGAAUAUUGCACAAUGGGCGAAAGCCUGAUGCAGCAACGCCGCGUGAGUGAUGAAGGUCUUCGGAUUGUAAAGCUCUGUCUUUUGGGACGAUAAUGACGGUACCAAAGGAGGAAGCCACGGCUAACUACGUGCCAGCAGCCGCGGUAAUACGUAGGUGGCGAGCGUUGUCCGGAUUUACUGGGCGUAAAGGGUGCGUAGGCGGAUGUUUAAGUGAGAUGUGAAAUACCCGGGCUUAACUUGGGUGCUGCAUUUCAAACUGGAUAUCUAGAGUGCAGGAGAGGAGAAUGGAAUUCCUAGUGUAGCGGUGAAAUGCGUAGAGAUUAGGAAGAACACCAGUGGCGAAGGCGAUUCUCUGGACUGUAACUGACGCUGAGGCACGAAAGCGUGGGUAGCAAACAGGAUUAGAUACCCUGGUAGUCCACGCCGUAAAACGAUGAGUACUAGGUGUAGGAGGUAUCGACCCCUUCUGUGCCGCAGUAAAACACAUUAAGUACUCCGCCUGGGAAGUACGAUCGCAAGAUUAAAAACUCU
Molecule: ribosomal RNA, 535 nt
Filed under: uncultured bacterium
Lineage: Bacteria
Description: partial 16S ribosomal RNA
Rfam family: Bacterial small subunit ribosomal RNA
Source: RNAcentral